GACGAACGCUGGCGGCGUGCCUAACACAUGCAAGUCGAACGGAAAGGCCCUGCUUUUGUGGGGUGGUCGAGUGGAGAACGGGUGAGUAACACGUGAGUAACCUGUCCCUCACUUUGGGGUAUCUUCAGGAAACUGGGGCUCUUACCGCAUAGGAUCUAUUGCUGCAUGGUGGGGCUUGGUAAGUUUCGGUGGUUGGGGAUGGAAUAGCGGCUUAUGAGCUUGUUGGUGUGGUAGUGGCUGACCAAGGCUUGGACGGGUAGCCGGCCUGCGAGGGCGACCGGCCACAUCAGGACGGAGAUACGGCCCAGACCCGAACGGGAGGCAAGAGGGGGGAAGAUUACACAGUGGGCGGGAGCCAGGUGCGGCAACGCCGCGUGCGGGAAGAGGUGCUUGGGGUUGUGAACCGAUUUCGCCUGUGACGAGGCGAGAGUGACGGUAACGGGUAAAGAAGCACCGGCUAACUACGUG
Molecule: ribosomal RNA, 468 nt
Filed under: uncultured bacterium
Lineage: Bacteria
Description: partial 16S ribosomal RNA
Rfam family: Bacterial small subunit ribosomal RNA
Source: RNAcentral